CCUACGGGAGGCAGCAGUGAGGAAUAUUGGUCAAUGGACGAGAGUCUGAACCAGCCAAGUAGCGUGAAGGAUGACUGCCCUAUGGGUUGUAAACUUCUUUUAUAUGGGAAUAAAAUGUUCCACGUGUGGGAUUUUGUAUGUACCAUAUGAAUAAGGAUCGGCUAACUCCGUGCCAGCAGCCGCGGUAAUACGGAGGAUCCGAGCGUUAUCCGGAUUUAUUGGGUUUAAGGGGAGCGUAGGUGGAUUGUUAAGUCAGUUGUGAAAGUUUGCGGCUCAACCGUAAAAUUGCAGUUGAAACUGGCAGUCUUGAGUACAGUAGAGGUGGGCGGAAUUCGUGGUGUAGCGGUGAAAUGCUUAGAUAGCACGAAGAACUCCGAUUGCGAAGGCAGUUCACUGGACUGCAACUGACACUGAGGCUCGAAAGUGUGGGUAUCAAACAGGAUUAGAUACCCCUGUAGUC
This 460-nucleotide ribosomal RNA is filed under the name uncultured bacterium. RNAcentral's name for it is "partial 16S ribosomal RNA". It matches the Rfam family "Bacterial small subunit ribosomal RNA", at positions 338 to 795 of the family's 1533-position model. The record is from RNAcentral.